Acanthosepion pharaonis is the source of this 107-nucleotide non-coding RNA. NCBI's taxonomy places the organism in Eukaryota, Metazoa, Mollusca, Cephalopoda, Sepiida, Sepiidae. The record is from the annotation of a GenBank genome assembly.
UACAGUCAUAUCACGUUGAAACAUCUGCUCUCGUACGAUCAUCGAAGUUAAGCAACGUCGAGCCUGCUAAGUACCUAGAUGGGUACACGCUUGAGAAUACUAGGUGU